Molecule: ribosomal RNA, 500 nt
Filed under: Nocardia otitidiscaviarum
Lineage: Bacteria; Bacillati; Actinomycetota; Actinomycetes; Mycobacteriales; Nocardiaceae
Description: bacterial SSU rRNA
Rfam family: Bacterial small subunit ribosomal RNA
Source: RNAcentral
UGGAGAGUUUGAUCCUGGCUCAGGACGAACGCUGGCGGCGUGCUUAACACAUGCAAGUCGAGCGGUAAGGCCCUUCGGGGUACACGAGCGGCGAACGGGUGAGUAACACGUGGGUGAUCUGCCUCGCACUCUGGGAUAAGCCUGGGAAACUGGGUCUAAUACCGGAUAUGACCAAGGGUUGCAUGAUCUUUGGUGGAAAGAUUUAUCGGUGCGAGAUGGGCCCGCGGCCUAUCAGCUUGUUGGUGGGGUAACGGCCUACCAAGGCGACGACGGGUAGCCGGCCUGAGAGGGUGAUCGGCCACACUGGGACUGAGACACGGCCCAGACUCCUACGGGAGGCAGCAGUGGGGAAUAUUGCACAAUGGGCGGAAGCCUGAUGCAGCGACGCCGCGUGAGGGAUGACGGCCUUCGGGUUGUAAACCUCUUUCGACAGGGACGAAGCGUGAGUGACGGUACCUGUAGAAGAAGCACCGGCUAACUACGUGCCAGCAGCCGCGGUA